Molecule: long non-coding RNA, 2965 nt
Organism: Panicum virgatum (switchgrass)
Lineage: Eukaryota; Viridiplantae; Streptophyta; Magnoliopsida; Poales; Poaceae
Exons: 9
Source: RefSeq, a predicted model, not a curated record
CGGACCCCUCCGUGUACCCGCCGCCAGCGUUUGCCUGGCCCUCGUCGCUCCUCAUCCAUCGGUGCCCGCCGUGCCCAAAUCCGCCCGUGAAUUCCGCGCGAGGAUCGCGGCCGGCGUGAUCCCAUCCCAAUCCGUCAAACUUCCCGUCUGCAACCGCAGCGCCGCCCCUCCUCUCCCACCGCCCUCCUCCCCAUGUGCAGGCCGCAGCGCCGCCCCUCGAUCCCCUCCAUCGCCUUCCUCCCCGUCCGCAGGCCGCAGCGCCGCCCCCAUCCCCAUCCAUGGCGGCCGGCGGCUUGGAGAGCAGGGGCGGACGGCGGGCGGAGGCAUCUCCGGAGGGGGAGGGGGGCACGCCGCGCUGCGCCGUGUGCUGGACGCGCUCCGGCGGGCCGGCGGACCGAGGAGAUCCAGAUGGAGGCGGACUCCGUCGUCGAGGAAGCCCGUGCCAAGGCCGUCUCGGCUAUCAAUGACCUCCCGCGGGGCCGCCGGCCCGAGAAGAUCCGGAUAGAGGCGGACUCCAUCGCCGAGGAGGUUCGUGCUUCGCCGUGUGCCUCGGCGACGUCGCGGCGGCCGAGAUGCUCGUGGCGGCCCAGCCAUGGCAGCAGCAACAGCAGGCGGCGGCGAUUGUGGAGGGGCCCUCGCCGCGCUGCUGGAGCGGUGCGGUGGCGCCUUGCCGUUUCUCCAGGCGACCGUCGGCGUCUUGCUUGCCGGUCAGGCCUAUUUCGUGACCCGUCCGUGGUGAGCAAGGUCUGGGCGAUGGCGACGACCGCUAGGGCUGAUGUGGAGGCCAAGGAGAGGGCGGCCAGGGAGGCGAAGACGAAGGCGGAGGUGGAAGGCAGCGGCUGGCGCGGAGAAGGCGGCCAAUUCUGUGGCGGCGGCGGACAAGCCAGAGAGCUCGGCAGAGAAGGACAGCAGAGGUGCAUAAGAAGGAGGGCAACAUGAGACGGAGUUGUUUACUGGCAACGUCCUGAGUCAGCUACGAAUAAGAUUGAAAGAAUCAUCAGGGAACCGGUGGUCAGUAGAUAUGGUUCUGAUGAUGGACUUCUAGAACAUCGUGAAGCACUUCUUGAAAAGCUAUGCAGAGAGAAUAAGCUUACCAAGUCAUCAGUUAUGGUCACUGCUGGUGCAAAUCAGGUUUUUGUGAACUUGGUCCUUACUCCUUGUGAUGCUGGUGAUUCUGUUGUCAUGCUUGCUCCAUAUUAUUUCAACGCCUGCAUGACAUUCCAGAUGGCCGUUUUUUACUGACAUAUUAGUUGGGAUUGUGACCCCAAGACACUUCAUUCUGAUGUUGGUGAGAUUACUAUCCUUUUGUAAGUCUAUGCUACCAUUUAGCUGGUGAGAGGAAUAUGCAUUUGAAAUGCAAUACCAAUGCAUUUAGUAUAAGAAAUUAUGUAUUGACUAUGAUACAUUCUCACCGUCACCUAUGACCUAAAUGCAGAUAAAAGUUCUUGGUUAAUUCUAUGGUAAGUAAUUUAAUAAUUUGUGGUGGUCAUCUAUGCCAGGUUGUAUCCUACACCAGGUUUAAUAUGCCAGGACGUGGAUGUGAAGCAUUGUUUUUUUUUUCCUAUUUUGCAGUGGUCAUUUCUUCACUACAAAGUGCAAAGCAAGAUGCAGAUACAGAUAUAUGAUGAUCUAUGUUGUACAAAAGGUAAAAUGAGCUCGAAUGUGCUUUUUUCUUGAGCUCCAAUGGCCACCAGAGGAUCCUUGACAUACAGAGGAUUUCCAUCUAAUCUGUGGCUCGGGUUCAGAUACAACAGCCCUGGUUCAAGAGUAUCUCAAGUUUCAUGUUCUAUUUCCAUCUCAAAGGCAGUUUGCUACUUAAACAAUCAUGAAGAGGACUAUAUAUAAGGGUGGAAUUCUGCAAUUUCAGGAUGGUGAUCCUUCCUCUAUUGUUUCAGUUGCUUGUGAUGUUGUCAUCUACACUGCUAAUAACCGUAAUGUCCAUUGUGUAACCGAGGUGACUAAAGGGGGAAGGCUCACCCUGACCCUUUGGUUCACUAGAGACCACGGUGACUGAAGCGGAAAGGCUCACCCUGACUCUUUGGUUCACUAGAGACCACACUAAUAAUGAGGCUCCAAAACUCCUUACUUUUUUUCUCUCAGACAUCAUUGAGCUCUGAAUCAGCUGAGCAAAAAUCUUAUAUUCCUAUGCGAGCCUCUGAUAACAUGUAUUGGUUUUCCUGUGAUCAAUCUGGCUUUGACAUAUGAUGUGCUAGAGUGCAUGUCCUUGGCUUUUAAGUUUCACUCAAGCAGUGGUGAAUACAGUACUUCUGUGUUGCCAGAUGAAGAAAACCCGAUAGAGAUGUUUGGGAAGCAACUGCGGCCCGUGAGGGGAGAUGAUAUCUUUGAGAAAAUGUUUUCUAGCAGCCUGCAUGCUCUUCAGGCAUAUUCCAUUUUAGAUCCUUUGCUGGAAACGAGUAUAAUCAUUGGCUUAUUGAAUAUGAGAAGGAUGUAAAGAGAAACCACAUGCUUGUUGUGCAUACUGCAUACGUUCACCAUCUUGCCAGUUCUAUGGUUCACUCUGGGGCUGAUUGAUUCGCUGCAUCUCGGCCAACCAAACCCGCCGGAUGCAGGUAAGUCGUGAUUGGUUGCCUGGAGGGGGUACGUGGCCUGGCUCCGCUGGUGCGAGAGAACGGAAACCAAACAAUAGGUAUCUGCACCUCGAACGCCUGGCCGGCGGGGGCCUGUCUCUCCGAUGCGCGAGCCAGGCUCGCUAGAGGAGACAACCAAUCAUGGCCUCUAAUUUCAGCCAUGUCAAAAGUACUUGGAGCAAAAUAUCACUUCUGAAUUUAGAUUUUGUCACUUCACUUCUGAAUUUGUAUUUCUCUUUAGGUUAAGUAAAGUACAGGCAGAAACACAUUUGAUCUUAAAUGGCUGAUUUCAUGUGGUUGGUGGAGUGAGAUAUCUUCCUGAAUCUUUAAUUUGUCAAAUUCUUUAUUUGUGAACUCUACAUCGGUACAUCCAUAUC